RNAcentral lists this ribosomal RNA (495 nucleotides) under uncultured bacterium. RNAcentral describes it as "bacterial SSU rRNA". It matches the Rfam family "Bacterial small subunit ribosomal RNA", at positions 15 to 507 of the family's 1533-position model. The record is from RNAcentral.
GAUCAUGGCUCAGGAUGAACGCUGGCGGCGUGCUUAACACAUGCAAGUCGAACGAAGCACUUUAGACAGAAGCCUUCGGGCGGAAGACUUUGGUGACUUAGUGGCGGACGGGUGAGUAACGCGUGGGUAACCUGCCCCUGUACCGGGGGACAACAGUUGGAAACGACUGCUAAUACCGCAUAAGCGCACAGCAUCGCAUGAUGCAGUGUGAAAAACUCCGGUGGUACAGGAUGGACCCGCGUCUGAUUAGCUAGUUGGUGAGGUAACGGCUUACCAAGGCAACGAUCAGUAGCCGACUUGAGAGAGUGAUCGGCCACAUUGGGACUGAGACACGGCCCAAACUCCUACGGGAGGCAGCAGUGGGGAAUAUUGCACAAUGGGGGAAACCCUGAUGCAGCGACGCCGCGUGAAGGAAGAAGUAUUUCGGUAUGUAAACUUCUAUCAGCAAGGAAGAAAAUGACGGUACUUGACUAAGAAGCCCCGGCUAAAUACGUG